CCGGCUCUCCGGUGGUGGGAGGACAGGGUUCUGCGGUGCCCUUUGUCGACCCCGCUGUGCAGGGCAGGGAAGGUCAGGAUCGCGAAGAGCCAAGUUCGAGCUCCGAUAACUCUCCGUGCCCAUAGAGGGUGGGGCGGGGAGGCGUGACUGCCCUUGAUGAUGGUGAGGGGAGAGAGGGAGCGCUGCACCUCUGGGGAAAACAAGUCAGCUCUGUCGUGGAGCUAGUGUAGGCGUUCAGAGCGCCUUUUGCAAUUAUUCUGCCCCCAGACUGCCUGGAAUCCAGCCCGUCCUUCCUAUCGCACUGCUACAGCCCUAGAUACCUUUUGUCCCAAGCUGUGCAAGUGUCUCUUCCCUGGGCUUGCCUCGCCUAUUCUCAGUGCUGCGGACCUGAUGAAUUACUGUCCGUUCUCUGCUGAGAAGCCCAGACAGCAUCUCGUCUUUGAGAUUCCACUUCCUUCACAUGGAGUCGUGUCCCCCGCCCCCCGACCCCAAAGCCGCCUGGGUUCCAGUUAGCCUUGCCGAAGACUUGCUCUGCUUGGCAUGCCCUUCCUCUCAAUGUUUUAUCUUCUAUGAAGCUUCACCCUCAAACCCUGAGACAUUUAUUACAAAAUCAUUUCUCGUGGAACAAGAACAUGUACUUUCAUGGUGCAAGGCUGCCUGAUGUUUCCCAGGUUUCAAUGGCCCAGGCAGAUAAUGGAAACUCAGCAAGGUCAGAAGAAAGAAGAACAGAUCUAUCCUUAAGUAGGAAAAAUAACCGUGUUCCAAGUAUACAGAACGGGAACAAAUGAAGUAUUUCUGAGCUGUCUCCUUGAUGGCCUCAUAGAAACAGGAAAACAGCUUCGUGCCUCUGCAGUGCUCUCUUGAGUUUGUGGGAUUCCCGCUGUGGCACACUGGAUUGGUCCUGCUGAGAAAGUUUACUGAGUAAGCCUUGAUUUCUCCAGUGAUAACCUACCGUUUAUCAGGUGCCUAAUGUGUCUUAUUCAUGUAUGUAGUCUACUGGGGGGAAAUUUGGCAUAGCUUCUGUUUGUCUUUCAGGAAAGCCAAUUUUUGUGGUUAAGUAUAUGUGUGUCUGUGUGUUUAAUAUCCUAGCUUAUAACAGAAAUUCUUCUCUGAAGCUAAAAUGAUUCUUCAUGGUUCCACUGUAACCUUAAACUCUCAUAGCAUAUAUGAAUACUUUCUUGAAGCUAAGAAAUAUGUCUCCUUGAGCUAGCAGAUUCGUUUUUAAUUUGGGAUGUUUUCUUUAAAGAUUAAAUAUUCUGCAUUUUUGGGGAUUGAAGUUAUAGUUUUAAAAUGUGUUCCCAAAUUGCAUUGCCAAUUCAAGUCUGGCAAUAGUUCAAGUGGGCUGUAAAAAACAGAUGAAAAGGUUUGGAAGCAUGUGUUGCUGUUAAGGGCAAUGGGGCUGGAAGGGCUCUAAGUAAAGAGCGUUUCAGAACAGCUAUAUGUCUGGGAGUAAAAUCUUGGAAUCCAAGGUGAAAUGCUGACUAGACUGCUUGUGUGAUGCUGUAUUGGAUAAAGACAGGCAGCCAUGUACUUGGGAAGGCGAGUGCAGCGAUGUUCAUCAUUAACUUGAGAACAGGGCUCUUCUCUGUGGAAAGGUUGCUUUGGUGAGCUCAACGUGCAGCUAAAAUAGGAAUAUCCAGUGAGUGCUGGAGGUGGAAGUUAGGAUGUGGCUGCCAAACGGUUCGUAUCUUUGAGAUGACCAGAAAAAUCGUGCAAUGGCAGAAGACCCAGACAGAUGUCCUUCUAAUUCAAAGACUAUUCUGGCUAUCUGUUGCUGGCUAUCAAACCACCCCACUAC
Long non-coding RNA from Ursus maritimus (polar bear), 1798 nucleotides. The record is from Ensembl. NCBI's taxonomy places the organism in Eukaryota, Metazoa, Chordata, Mammalia, Carnivora, Ursidae.